This 499-nucleotide ribosomal RNA is filed under the name uncultured bacterium. RNAcentral's name for it is "bacterial SSU rRNA". It matches the Rfam family "Bacterial small subunit ribosomal RNA", at positions 28 to 523 of the family's 1533-position model. The record is from RNAcentral.
AACGAACGCUGGCGGCGCGCUUAACACAUGCAAGUCGAACGAGAAGGCGUAGCAAUACGCUUGUACAGUGGCGAACGGGUGAGUAAUACGUGGGCGACCUACCCUCGAGUGGGGAAUAACCCGCCGAAAGGCGGGCUAAUGCCGCGUACGCUUCCAUCUUUAUGGAGGUGGAAGGAAAGCCGUGCCGUGGGCACGGCGCUCAAGGAUGGGCUCACGUCCUAUCAGCUUGUUGGAGGGUAACGGCCUACCAAGGCUCCGACGGGUAGCUGGUCUGAGAGGACGAUCAGCCACACUGGCACUGCGACACGGGCCAGACUCCUACGGGAGGCAGCAGUGAGGAAUAUUGCGCAAUGGGCAAAGCCUGACGCAGCGACGCCGCGUGGGGGAUGAAGGUCUUCGGAUUGUAAACCCCUUUCGGGAGGGAAGAUGGGACGGGCGACCGUUCGGACGGUACCUCCAGAAGCAGCCACGGCUAACUUCGUGCCAGCCGCCGCCGUAA